ACUGGUGAUAUUUGGAUUGA
This 20-nucleotide non-coding RNA is filed under the name Arabidopsis thaliana (thale cress). Lineage: Eukaryota; Viridiplantae; Streptophyta; Magnoliopsida; Brassicales; Brassicaceae. The record is from RNAcentral.